UCAAUCUGUUCCUCGGACUUCGCCCACCAGGGCCGGGGCCUCCCUGGCGCCGCUGAGCCCCAGGCCCCGCUGAGGGCCUCCCUGCGGGGUCUGCUGCACAGACGAGGUCAGCUGCUCUGCUCUUCUUCUGGGAUCAGAAAUCUGAGGCUCAGCCAAGUUACAAAAUUUGCCCAAAGCCAUUCAGAAAAUGGCAAGCCUGGAAAAUCAUCCCAGGAAGCCAGACUCCACAUGUCUUAUUCCUCGACAUGAAAACCCACUGCCAACAGCAUCAUUGGGUCAGCUCCCCACCUGAACCAUUGGGGAACAGGCAACCAGAGGACAAAGCAGAAGCUGAGGAAAGGGGAGAAUGGUGGGGAAGGGCUUUGACGCCACUUCCGGUGCAUUCUUGCUUUCAGACGGCUGUACAGGUGUCGCAUGAGCAUGUUGUAAGUAGCAAGGAUGGAAAAUGCAAGAAAAUGUGCACGUUGAAAUUGAUGAAAUGGCUUAUAAAAGGAGCACUGAUUACUGAGCUUGGCGAAUUCUCGGGGAAUGCAUAGUUAACUUGGAUCCUGCAAGGUGAGACUCCCCACCAAAAUCAAAGAAUGGAUACAAAGGAGGUGUAAACUGGAUGGAUACAGUGAUCCUAAGAUUCAGAGCGGCUGGCUCACAGCGCCACCUGGCGUCUACAGGCGGGAGACCAGGUGUAGCCUUAAGCGGAAGCUACGGAGAGGCUGGUGCGCAGCUGCAGAUGAAAGGGACCUGCCGGGAGCUCGCCGGUUAUCUGGCUCUGCGGCUUGGACCUGGAUGGAACCACCAUUGGACACUCUGGCGUGACACCUGGAGAGACACCUUCGUCUCCACUCCAGCUCUUCUGCUUGUCUGGGUAUCUGUUGGUGAGUCCAACUUCUGAUCCAGUUCUCUGGACAAGCGUCCGCUGAAGCAUGUUACAGUGCUGUGACUUGCAUAGGAUCAGGCUCAUCACUUGGCUACAGACCCUCACUCGGGACCCUAAGUGUGCGCCCCUGAAGCCCUCAUCUUGACUCCUGACUGAUUGAUCAGAGAUCCACUGGAAAAGUCCCUCAUUCAAGGCCAGACAGCUUGUACCAUACAACAUACCCUCUACGACCAAGUCUCAACGUGUGACUCAACAGGUCCUGAAUGAAAAAAUUUUGACCUUAACGAGAAGUGGACUUGUUGUUAUAAGGAAAGAAGAACGUCUCUUCUUUCUACACAUUAGGAGGAACAGACAAGACUCUGCUUGACCAAACUUCAGUCAGGCUUUGGAUGUUCUCCUAGGCCCAUCUGUGCCCUUCUUCGUAAAAUCCUCAGGAAGAUCCUGUUGCUCAGCACCCCCAGUUCCCCCCACCCCUCCAUAUCUCAUCUCCCUCGAUAUCUAACUAGGCUUCCACUUCUCCAUCAUCCAUCAGCAGGAUUCCUGUAGGUCAGUUCAUCCCAAAUCCUCUUACACUCCAUGUUUCCUCCUCGUAAUUUCCCACUCACUGAACCACCCCAGGCUUCCUGGCUAUAAAUUCCUGCUUGUUCAUGCUGCAAUCAAAAUUGAGCCCAGUUUGAUACUGAAGAAUCUUCUCUUCCAUAGUCCACAAUUAAUUGUUUUUACCACUUGAGCUGGUGUCUGGCUGUGGCUGUCUCUGACAGUUGUCAGAGUCGGUCACCAUAGUCAGCACCCAAACUUCCUUGCUUGCACGUCGAUUCAGGCACGAGGUGCACGCUGUAACCAGGUGGCAGUCCUAACUUCCAUUGAGGGGAAUUACUGUUUCGUCUCUUGAUGGAGGCAUUUCUUCUUUUGGAACUAAGACUUCUAAUUCAGUAGAACGCAAAGUCAUCAGAACAGAAGGCAAAAUUCUGCUACUCUGUCACCAUGGGUGAUGGUAUGUGGUGCCUCUCCCAUCUCCCCCAGAUUCCUGGAUCACCACUUCUCCCUGCGGGAGAAACAGCACCAUGUAUUGGGUUAGAUUAAGAGUGCAUGGCCUCCUGGAAAAUCGUGCCGCAGCCCUGCAACCUGUCACCGCCUUAUGGCUCUCGAACAUCUAAUAAAUACCCUUCUAUGUUCUGUCAACCCAGCUGCUUCACGAUGGCUGAGAAUGUGGUGAGACCAGUGGAUGCCAUGAGCAUGGGCCCAUUGCCACCUUUCUUUUGGGAAGUGAGGGUCUUAGACCCGAGCCAAGCUGAGUGGGACACCGUGACGGUGGGUAAGGCGCCUUCAGACGCAUGGAUGGGCAUUUUGGCAGAAGCAUUGCAUGCAGUUAUAAUGCCAUGACUCGGAAUGAUCCCUGGAGUCCCAGACCCCUCACCCAGGACCUGAAGUAGGAGCCUUGAAAAGCUGAAUAUCAUGGGGAUUCCACCAGGCAUUCCACUGGGAAGUCCAGCUCCUAAACUGUUGGUCCAGACAAAUGUCCUUGGGAGCUGAGAGGGACAAAGUUUGAUUCAUGAGGCUCUGAGUACGUUCUGGAAGCUGGGUUAAAGUUUCAGACAAUCCCAGGGCGAGUUGGAACACAAGGACAGAGCUAGUAACAUUGGAUGUAUCUCUGAGGCUUUGACUGGGUCAUUAUAUUUGAAAAUGACGUGCAUCAAAUCAGAUAUGAUCUGACAGCUUUAAGGACUAAGAUUGACUUGGAGAAGCUAAUGCUUGUGAAGUGCCCCCGAGAAAAACCAGCCUGUACCCAUCUUAUUGGAUUCCCAACUGGACAGAAUCUCCCUUUCUUUAAAUGCCUGAUGACUAGCACCAUCCAGCAAAUACCCACUACUAGCACGCCUCAACAGAUGAUUCAACCAAUCUUUAAUUUAAAAAAAAAGGAACACCUGGAUUAACUAGCAAAUGCCAUAAAGCUGCGGGUCAGAUGGUUGGGCUCUGCUGUCCAUCACAGCCAGUACACCUGCCAUGCUGCUAGUGGUUGCGUGCACCAACUGGGCGCCUGCCUCCCUGGGAUCCAGCUGCUUCAAAGUCCUGUAGAUUCUUCUAUUGAGUAGCUACCAGCCCACUCGAAGGUGGGGCCUACAGAGAACAGUGAUAUUAGACAUCUUCAAGGUUGCUGGGGCUCCAAUCCCUAAUCUGUUUCUCAAAAUGCUGGUGAAAUGUAUGUCUCCUGGAUGGUCCCAACGUGGAAAGAAGAAUAUUGGCUAAAUGUUCUAAUCCAUACAGGUGAAUGAAACCUCCAUGACUAGGGAAGGUAAAGAAGACACCUCUAAUACAGGGAAAGUAAGACGUGUCUUAAGAGGCGAAGAGUGUUUUUCCCUAAAGUGAAUGGAUGGUUGUUCCUGAAUGAGAAAGAAGACAAGAUAAGCACACUGCCAGAGAAACCAAGAUGUUGUGACUUCAAAUAAUUUCCUGUGCUUCUUAUUAUAUUUAUCAGCUGGAUGACGUCAUGUGAACUUCAAGAAAAUCACCGCAGAUCACAUGGACAGUUUCUGCUUGUUGCUGGACGGGCCACUCAGAAGCUCAUCUGGACACCAAUGCCACCACUGCAGAAAUUCAACCUGCAAACCAGGAAAUUCAGUGGAUUGCGCCUCUAUAUACACCCACCAUCUAAUGAUGCCUCAAGCUCAACAUCUAGAAAUAUCCUCAUCAAGUUUUCCUCUGGAAUUGGAAACUCGCUUUAAUAUCCAUCUUUGUUUCCCUUUGAUUUCCGCAGAAAUUCUUUCCAUUUAAUGUCCUGAUGGCUUGCACCAUACAGCACAUCCCCUGCUGCCAAGUCUUAACAGAGAAUUCAAAAGAUCCUAACGAACAAAAGCAAGGUGGAUGAUGAGG
This is a long non-coding RNA of Hipposideros armiger (great roundleaf bat), 3745 nucleotides long. RefSeq lists it as uncharacterized. The record is from RefSeq and is a predicted model, not a curated record. The transcript has 16 exons. NCBI's taxonomy places the organism in Eukaryota, Metazoa, Chordata, Mammalia, Chiroptera, Hipposideridae.